Molecule: ribosomal RNA, 253 nt
Filed under: uncultured bacterium
Lineage: Bacteria
Description: partial 16S ribosomal RNA
Rfam family: Bacterial small subunit ribosomal RNA
Source: RNAcentral
UACGGGGGGAGCAAGCGUUGUUCGGAUUUACUGGGCGUAAAGGGCGCGUAGGCGGUUCGUACAGUCAGACGUGAAAUUCCUGGGCUCAACCUGGGGGCUGCGUUUGAUACGUGCGGGCUUGAGUUCGGAAGAGGGUCGUGGAAUUCCCAGUGUAGAGGUGAAAUUCGUAGAUAUUGGGAAGAACACCGGUGGCGAAGGCGGCGACCUGGUCCGAUGCUGACGCUGAGGCGCGAAAGCGUGGGGAGCAAACAGG